AAUAGAUACCCGGGUAGUCCACGCCGUAAACGAUGGAUACUAGCUGUUGGAGGUAUCGACCCCUUCAGUAGCGAAGCUAACGCGUUAAGUAUCCCGCCUGUGGAGUACGGUCGCAAGACUAAAACAUAAAGGAAUUGACGGGGACCCGCACAAGCGGUGGAUCGUGUUCUUUAAUUCGAUGAUAAACGAAGAACCUUACCAGGGCUUGACAUCCUUGGAAGCACUGCGAAAGCAGAGUGUGCCUUUUGGAACCAAGUGACAGGUGUUGCAUGGCCGUCGUCAGCUCGUGUCGUGAGAUGUUUGGUUAAGUCCAUCAACGAGCGCAACCCUUGUGAAUAGUUGUAUUUUUCUAUUCAGACUGCCCCGGCAACGGGGAGGAAGGAGGGGAUGAUGUCAGGUCAGUAUUACCCUUACGUCCUGGGCUAGAAACACGAUACAAUGGCUAGUACAAUGCGCAGCGAAACCGCGAGGUGGAGCAAAUCGCAUCAAAGCUAGUCCCAGUUCGGAUAAGAGGCUGAAACUCGCCUCUUUGAAGUCGG
RNAcentral lists this ribosomal RNA (539 nucleotides) under uncultured bacterium. Its description in RNAcentral is "bacterial SSU rRNA". It matches the Rfam family "Bacterial small subunit ribosomal RNA", at positions 777 to 1329 of the family's 1533-position model. The record is from RNAcentral.